AUCAGGUAAAGCAAAGCUAUAAUUUAUUCGCUUAUGCUAAAGUGUUCCUAAUAAUUCAGUUAAACUCAGCAAGGGUUGCAUUUCCCCGCUUGUGUGUCUGCAAAGCGCUGCAGUUUUGCAGUGACAGCAAUGCAGCAAAGACCGCAAUCGCCUUGUUCUUGGCACUGGAUGGAUGCAUCACGUUUCCCGUCCUGCUUUGGAGCCAGUGGCUGCAGCUGCUGCUUUGUGCCUCGUGGGAUGCUGCGGGUCGCUGCAGGGUUGUUGGGGACUGCAGGCCACUACAGAAGUGCUGGAGGCAUUGCCCGAGCAGUGAGAUAA
Molecule: long non-coding RNA, 318 nt
Filed under: Anser brachyrhynchus (Pink-footed goose)
Lineage: Eukaryota; Metazoa; Chordata; Aves; Anseriformes; Anatidae
Description: lncRNA (ENSABRG00000006589.1)
Source: RNAcentral